This 75-nucleotide transfer RNA is filed under the name Trichonephila inaurata madagascariensis. RNAcentral's name for it is "tRNA-Thr". The stretch from base 2 to 68 matches the Rfam family "tRNA", at positions 5 to 66 of the family's 71-position model. From Rfam's summary of the family: Transfer RNA (tRNA) molecules are approximately 80 nucleotides in length. Their secondary structure includes four short double-helical elements and three loops (D, anti-codon, and T loops). The record is from RNAcentral. Lineage: Eukaryota; Metazoa; Arthropoda; Arachnida; Araneae; Nephilidae.
GCCGUGGCUCAGUUGGUUAAAGCGCCUGUCUAGUGUAAACAGGUGAUCAAGAGUUCGAAUCUCGUCGGAAAAGCU